UACGUAGGGGGCAAGCGUUAUCCGGAUUUACUGGGUGUAAAGGGAGCGUAGACGGCGCGGCAAGUCUGAAGUGAAAGGCAGGGGCUUAACCCCUGAACUGCUUUGGAAACUGCCAUGCUGGAGUGCCGGAGAGGUAAGCGGAAUUCCUAGUGUAGCGGUGAAAUGCGUAGAUAUUAGGAGGAACACCAGUGGCGGAGGCGGCUUACUGGACGGUAACUGACGCUGAGGCUCGAAAGCGUGGGGAGCAAACAGG
This 253-nucleotide ribosomal RNA is filed under the name uncultured Eubacteriales bacterium. Its description in RNAcentral is "uncultured Clostridiales bacterium partial 16S ribosomal RNA". It matches the Rfam family "Bacterial small subunit ribosomal RNA", at positions 524 to 776 of the family's 1533-position model. The record is from RNAcentral. Lineage: Bacteria; Bacillati; Bacillota; Clostridia; Eubacteriales.